This 142-nucleotide small RNA is filed under the name Desulfosporosinus youngiae. RNAcentral's name for it is "c-di-AMP sequence". It matches the Rfam family "c-di-AMP riboswitch aptamer (ydaO/yuaA leader)". From Rfam's summary of the family: This family represents a conserved RNA structure found upstream of the ydaO and yuaA genes in Bacillus subtilis and related genes in other bacteria. RNAcentral also lists the same sequence under 1 other name. Lineage: Bacteria; Bacillati; Bacillota; Clostridia; Eubacteriales; Desulfitobacteriaceae. The record is from RNAcentral.
UUAUAGUAAGAGCUGAAUCCAAAUCCUGUACUUUGGAGCGGGGGAUUAUUUUGGGGUGAAUCACGUUGUCUUUUCACGUGUAGGGCUUACACCUGCUGCCCGAAUCCGUCAACUAACCUCGUAAGCUAAGAAAGGUGGACAA